Molecule: long non-coding RNA, 134 nt
Organism: Leopardus geoffroyi (Geoffroy's cat)
Lineage: Eukaryota; Metazoa; Chordata; Mammalia; Carnivora; Felidae
Exons: 2
Source: RefSeq, a predicted model, not a curated record
CAGAAAGAAAAAUCAAGGAAUCAAUCCCAUUUACAGUUGCACCAAAAACCAUAAAAUACCUAGGAAUAAAUCUAACCAAAGAGGUAAAAGAUCUGCACUCUGAAAAUUAUACAACACUGAUGAUAAAAAUUGAA